GUACGAACGGGAAUCACCGAACAGGCCCUAAUAAAAUAGAACGGAUACACAACCCAAACAAACCAUGCAAUCGGCAAACGCCUAGGCUUCAACCGGAUCAUGGGACCUAGAAAAAGAAAAAGAAUCCGGAUAAAGUUUGCUAGGUGUUGUAUGCCGGCAAUCGUGCUUAGGCCAGCCUGAUUCAGCUGGCUUGGCCUAAUGAAUGAAUGCACAGGCAGUGCAUAUCCUCUGUGAUUCGAUGGGGUGUGGUUUGAUCAGCGCAGGGAAAAUGGGCUUGUUUUACAUUUCAAGUUGUCUGCCAAAUAUAUCAUAGUCGCAGAAGUACUCUCUUAUAAUGGUGAUGGAAACAUGG
This 352-nucleotide small RNA is filed under the name Histoplasma ohiense. RNAcentral describes it as "hypothetical lncRNA". The record is from RNAcentral. Lineage: Eukaryota; Fungi; Ascomycota; Eurotiomycetes; Onygenales; Ajellomycetaceae.